GAACGCCCCCUCGAGAUGAGAUUUCCCAUUCCUAUAUGGAAGUAAGACCCCUGAGAGAUGAUCAGGUAGAUAGGCUGGAAGUGGAAGUGCAGCGAUGCAUGGAGCGGACCAGUACUAAUCGGUCGAGGACUUAACCAA
This 138-nucleotide ribosomal RNA is filed under the name Lacticaseibacillus paracasei. Its description in RNAcentral is "Lactobacillus paracasei partial 23S ribosomal RNA". It matches the Rfam family "Bacterial large subunit ribosomal RNA", at positions 2789 to 2925 of the family's 2925-position model. The record is from RNAcentral. Lineage: Bacteria; Bacillati; Bacillota; Bacilli; Lactobacillales; Lactobacillaceae.